UCUCAGCAAGGCAAUUUUACUUCUAUAGAAGGGUGCAUCUCACAGAUGGAGCAAUGGCAAGAGCACACCUGAACAAGGGAAGGGAAGGGGUUUUUAUCCCUAAGGCAGGUAGCCCCUACAGCUGUGUCGUUCCCCUAUUGGCUAGGGUUGAACCACACCGUCUGAGCUAAUUGUUACUGGCUAUUUUAAAGAGAGCAGGGGUAAGAGCCGGAUUGGCAGGGUAAGUAGUUUGGCAGGAAGGACAGUCACAGAACAGGUGACUCAGGAUGACUCAGGUCAGAGCAGGUGACCAGUGGUGACUCAGUUCGGAGCAGGUGAUAGAAGCUAGGAGGGUGUUGUUUACUGAAACUAGGGGCAAGGAGACGAAGAGAACAUGAAAGUUAAACUUUAAAAUGAAGAACAAAGCUGAACAUACUGAUGCAUUGGUUCUUUGGAGAGGAUCUCAGAACUCAUUGUACUUAAUUUACAGGCUAAAACCUUAGAAGAGGAAUUUAUUAUAUCCUACACAAGACUCCAGGGAAGCACGUGGCCUUGGACUGAAGGCUGGCAUCUGGAAGCUGUCAGCCACCAGCACCUUCUGCAGCAGGUACCUGCUCUCUAAGAGGGAGGCCUGGGUGGUGCACCUCCAGAGCUGCCCGGGCUGGGCCUCAAGGAAGAAAAAGAUUUUCAUUUGUCAAAGGCGGAAGGGAGAGGUGGAGGGAACAGCACAGCAGCGGCCCAGGGGCAGGGAAGCACAGGACCAUUAGGGAGACACGAGAAAGCCCAUUUGUCUAGAACAGAGGAUUCAAGCAGUGCACCAAGGAAAAUGAGGGCCAGGCCAAUGUGCUGGAGUGGCUUUGUUCUUGGCUGAGGGUUUUGGGUAGUGCCAAAGCGUAAGGUAAGCCCUGCUUUCCAGAAGAAUCUAGCAGAGUGUGGAGCCCAGAUGGGACUGGAAAGCCUGGGAGGGGUCAGGUGGCCACAGGGACGGGCCACAGCCAGUGGUGCAGGCAAGAAGACAAUGGCCAUCCAUGGUGGCUCACACCUGCAAUCCCAGCCCAUUGGGAGGUCGAGGCAGGUGGAUCACCUGAGGUCAGGAGUUCGAGACCAGCCUGGUCAACAUGGUGAAACCCUGUCUCUAAUAAAAUUAUAAAAAUUAGCUGGGCAUGGUGGUGGGUGCCUGUAAUCUCAGCUACUCAGGAGGCUGGGUCAGGAGAAUCGCUUGAACCCAGGAGGCGGAGGUUACAGUGAGCUGAGAUAGCACCAUUGCAUUCCAGCCUGGACGACAAAAGUAAGACUCUGUCUCAAAAAAAAAAAAAAUUAGCCAGGCGUGGUGGUGGGUGCCUGUCGUCCUCGGGAGGCUGAGGCAUGAGAAUCACUCUGGGGGGCAGAGGUUGCAAUGAACCAAGAUCACACCACUGCACUCCAGCCUGGGUGACAGAGCAAGACUCUGUCUAAAAAAAAAAAAAAAGACAGAAGGAUGUCAGCAUCUGAUGCUGCCUGUCACCUUGACCCUGAGGAUGCCAGUCACAGCUCCAUUAACUGGGACCUAGGAAAAUGAGUCAUCCUUGGUCAUGCACAUUUCAAAUGGUGGCUGAAUAUGGAAGCCAGACUUGGGAUCUGUUGUCUCCUCCAACAUGGUGGAAGAUGCCUGAAAAGUAGGGGCUGGAUCCCAUCCCCUGCCUCACUGGGAAGGUGAGGUGGUGGGGUGGGGUGGGGCCUCAGGCUUGGGGUCAUGGGACAAAGCCCAGGCUGAAUGCCGCCCUUCCAUCUCCCUCCUCCUGAGACAGGGGCAGCAGGGCACACUAGUGUCCAGGAGCAGCUUAUGAGGCCCCUUCACCCUCCACCCUCCAAAACUGGCAGAACCCACCUUCUUGGUGUGACCCCAGAGCUCUGAGCACAGCCCGUUCCUUCCGCCUGCCGGCCCCCCACCCAGGCCCACCCCAACCUUAUCCUCCACUGCUUCUCAGAGGAGUCUGGCCAACACAAAUCCUCUUGUUUGUUUGUCUGUCUGUCUGCUGCUCCUAGUCUCUGCCUCUCCCAGUCUCUCAGCUUCCGUUUCUUUCUUAAACUUUCUCUCAGUCUCUGAGGUCUCGAAAUCACGAGGCUUCGACCCCUGUGGACCAGAUGCCCAGCUAGUGGCCUUUCUCCAGCCCCUCAGAUGGCACAGAACUACAAACCCCAGCAUGCACUCUGGCCUGAAGUGCCUGGAGAGUGCUGGUGUACCCCACCUGCAUUCUGGGAACUGUAGUUUCCCUAGUCCCCCAUGCUCCCACCAGGGCAUCAAGCUCUUCCCUGGCCGGCUGACCCUGCCUCAGCCCUAGUCUCUCUGCUGACCUGCGGCCCCGGGAAGCAUGCGUCACUGAAUGACAGGGUGGGGGUGGAGGCACUGGAAGGCAGCUUCCUGCUCUUUUGUGUCCCCCACUUGAGUCAUGGGGGUGUGGGGGUUCCAGGAAAUUGGGGCUGGGAGGGGAAGGGAUACCCUAAUGUCAGACUCAAGGACAAAAAGUCACUACAUCCUUGCUGGGCCUCUAUCCCCAAGAACCCAAAAGGACUCAAGGGUGGGGAUCCAGGAGCUCUUGUAUGUAUGGGGGGAGGUGAAGGAGAGAACCUGCAUGACCCUAGAGGUCCCUGUGGUCACUGAGAGUGUGGGCUGCCAUCCCCUGCUACAGAAACGGUGCUCACCUUCUGCCCAACCCUCCAGGGAAAGGCACACAGGGGUGAGGCCGAAGGCCCUUCCGUCUGGUGCCACAUCACAGAAGGACCUUUAUGACCCCCUGGUGGCUCUACCCUGCCACUCCCCAAUGCCCCAGCCCCCACGCUGCAGCCCCAGGGCUCUGCUGGACACCUGGGCUCCCACUUAUCAGCCUCAGUCCUCACAGCGGAACCCAGGCGUCCGGCCCCCCACCCUUCAGGCCAGCGGGCGUGGAGCUGAGGCUUUAGAGCCUCCCAGCCGGGCUUGUUCCUGUCCCAUUGUGUAUGGGACAGGGGCGGGGCGAGGGCCAGCACUGGAGAGCCCCCUCCCACUGCCCCCUCCUCUCGGUCCCCUCCCUCUUCCUAAGGAAAAGGCCAGGGCUCUGCUGGAGCAGGCAGCAGAGUGGACGCACAGUAACAUGGGCAACUUGAAGAGCGUGGCCCAGGAGUCUGGGCCACCCUGCGGCCUGGGGCUGGGGCUGGGCCUUGGGCUGUGCGGCAAGCAGGGCCCAGCCACCCCGGCCCCUGAGCCCAGCCGGGCCCCAGCAUCCCUACUCCCGCCAGCGCCAGAACACAGCCCCCCGAGCUCCCCGCUAACCCAGCCCCCAGAGGGGCCCAAGUUCCCUCGUGUGAAGAACUGGGAGGUGGGGAGCAUCACCUAUGACACCCUCAGCGCCCAGGCGCAGCAGGAUGGGCCCUGCACCCCAAGACGCUGCCUGGGCUCCCUGGUAUUUCCACGGAAACUACAGGGCCGGCCCUCCCCCGGCCCCCCGGCCCCUGAGCAGCUGCUGAGUCAGGCCCGGGACUUCAUCAACCAGUACUACAGCUCCAUUAAGAGGAGCGGCUCCCAGGCCCACGAACAGCGGCUUCAAGAGGUGGAAGCCGAGGUGGCAGCCACAGGCACCUACCAGCUUAGGGAGAGCGAGCUGGUGUUCGGGGCCAAGCAGGCCUGGCGCAACGCUCCCCGCUGCGUGGGCCGGAUCCAGUGGGGGAAGCUGCAGGUGUUCGAUGCCCGGGACUGCAGGUCUGCACAGGAAAUGUUCACCUACAUCUGCAACCACAUCAAGUAUGCCACCAACCGGGGCAACCUUCGCUCGGCCAUCACAGUGUUCCCGCAGCGCUGCCCUGGCCGAGGAGACUUCCGAAUCUGGAACAGCCAGCUGGUGCGCUACGCGGGCUACCGGCAGCAGGACGGCUCUGUGCGGGGGGACCCAGCCAACGUGGAGAUCACCGAGCUCUGCAUUCAGCACGGCUGGACCCCAGGAAACGGUCGCUUCGACGUGCUGCCCCUGCUGCUGCAGGCCCCAGAUGAGCCCCCAGAACUCUUCCUUCUGCCCCCCGAGCUGGUCCUUGAGGUGCCCCUGGAGCACCCCACGCUGGAGUGGUUUGCAGCCCUGGGCCUGCGCUGGUACGCCCUCCCAGCAGUGUCCAACAUGCUGCUGGAAAUUGGGGGCCUGGAGUUCCCCGCAGCCCCCUUCAGUGGCUGGUACAUGAGCACUGAGAUCGGCACGAGGAACCUGUGUGACCCUCACCGCUACAACAUCCUGGAGGAUGUGGCUGUCUGCAUGGACCUGGAUACCCGGACAACCUCGUCCCUGUGGAAAGACAAGGCAGCAGUGGAAAUCAACGUGGCCGUGCUGCACAGUUACCAGCUGGCCAAAGUCACCAUCGUGGACCACCACGCCGCCACGGCCUCUUUCAUGAAGCACCUGGAGAAUGAGCAGAAGGCCAGGGGGGGCUGCCCUGCAGACUGGGCCUGGAUUGUGCCCCCCAUCUCGGGCAGCCUCACUCCUGUUUUCCAUCAGGAGAUGGUCAACUAUUUCCUGUCCCCGGCCUUCCGCUACCAGCCAGACCCCUGGAAGGGGAGUGCCGCCAAGGGCACCGGCAUCACCAGGAAGAAGACCUUUAAAGAAGUGGCCAACGCCGUGAAGAUCUCCGCCUCGCUCAUGGGCACGGUGAUGGCGAAGCGAGUGAAGGCGACAAUCCUGUAUGGCUCCGAGACCGGCCGGGCCCAGAGCUAUGCACAGCAGCUGGGGAGACUCUUCCGGAAGGCUUUUGAUCCCCGGGUCCUGUGUAUGGAUGAGUAUGACGUGGUGUCCCUCGAACACGAGACGCUGGUGCUGGUGGUAACCAGCACAUUUGGGAAUGGGGAUCCCCCGGAGAAUGGAGAGAGCUUUGCAGCUGCCCUGAUGGAGAUGUCCGGCCCCUACAACAGCUCCCCUCGGCCGGAACAGCACAAGAGUUAUAAGAUCCGCUUCAACAGCAUCUCCUGCUCAGACCCACUGGUGUCCUCUUGGCGGCGGAAGAGGAAGGAGUCCAGUAACACAGACAGUGCAGGGGCCCUGGGCACCCUCAGGUUCUGUGUGUUCGGGCUCGGCUCCCGGGCAUACCCCCACUUCUGCGCCUUUGCUCGUGCGGUGGACACACGGCUGGAGGAACUGGGCGGGGAGCGGCUGCUGCAGCUGGGCCAGGGCGACGAGCUGUGCGGCCAGGAGGAGGCCUUCCGAGGCUGGGCCCAGGCUGCCUUCCAGGCCGCCUGUGAGACCUUCUGUGUGGGAGAGGAUGCCAAGGCCGCCGCCCGAGACAUCUUCAGCCCCAAACGGAGCUGGAAGCGCCAGAGGUACCGGCUGAGCGCCCAGGCCGAGGGCCUGCAGUUGCUGCCAGGUCUGAUCCACGUGCACAGGCGGAAGAUGUUCCAGGCUACAAUCCGCUCAGUGGAAAACCUGCAAAGCAGCAAGUCCACGAGGGCCACCAUCCUGGUGCGCCUGGACACCGGAGGCCAGGAGGGGCUGCAGUACCAGCCGGGGGACCACAUAGGUGUCUGCCCGCCCAACCGGCCCGGCCUUGUGGAGGCGCUGCUGAGCCGCGUGGAGGACCCGCCGGCGCCCACUGAGCCCGUGGCAGUAGAGCAGCUGGAGAAGGGCAGCCCUGGUGGCCCUCCCCCCGGCUGGGUGCGGGACCCCCGGCUGCCCCCGUGCACGCUGCGCCAGGCUCUCACCUUCUUCCUGGACAUCACCUCCCCACCCAGCCCUCAGCUCUUGCGGCUGCUCAGCACCUUGGCAGAAGAGCCCAGGGAACAGCAGGAGCUGGAGGCCCUCAGCCAGGAUCCCCGACGCUACGAGGAGUGGAAGUGGUUCCGCUGCCCCACGCUGCUGGAGGUGCUGGAGCAGUUCCCGUCGGUGGCGCUGCCUGCCCCACUGCUCCUCACCCAGCUGCCUCUGCUCCAGCCCCGGUACUACUCAGUCAGCUCGGCACCCAGCACCCACCCAGGAGAGAUCCACCUCACUGUAGCUGUGCUGGCAUACAGGACUCAGGAUGGGCUGGGCCCCCUGCACUAUGGAGUCUGCUCCACGUGGCUAAGCCAGCUCAAGCCCGGAGACCCUGUGCCCUGCUUCAUCCGGGGGGCUCCCUCCUUCCGGCUGCCACCCGAUCCCAGCUUGCCCUGCAUCCUAGUGGGCCCAGGCACUGGCAUUGCCCCCUUCCGGGGAUUCUGGCAGGAGCGGCUGCAUGACAUUGAGAGCAAAGGGCUGUGCAGGGUCUCUGUGAAAGCAUUCUACACUCUCUUAGAGAUGAAACAGCCAAAGUAAUGGUGGCUUCAGCCCAAAACGCUGGGCUGCCAGGCUGGGCGACGGUGGCCUGUGGGGAGGCCCCACUAGCACUGUGCCCCGGAGAAGAGCCUUCCCAAGCGUGGGGUUGCUUGCAGGGCUGCAGCCCACUCCCAUGACUUUGGUGUUCGGCUGCCGAUGCUCCCAACUUGACCAUCUCUACCGCGACGAGGUGCAGAACGCCCAGCAGCGCGGGGUGUUUGGCCGAGUCCUCACCGCCUUCUCCCGGGAACCUGACAACCCCAAGACCUACGUGCAGGACAUCCUGAGGACGGAGCUGGCUGCGGAGGUGCACCGCGUGCUGUGCCUCGAGCGGGGCCACAUGUUUGUCUGCGGCGAUGUCACCAUGGCAACCAACGUCCUGCAGACCGUGCAGCGCAUCCUGGCGACGGAGGGCGACAUGGAGCUGGACGAGGCCGGCGACGUCAUCGGCGUGCUGCGGGAUCAGCAACGCUACCACGAAGACAUUUUCGGGCUCACGCUGCGCACCCAGGAGGUGACAAGCCGCAUACGCACCCAGAGCUUUUCCUUGCAGGAGCGUCAGUUGCGGGGCGCAGUGCCCUGGGCGUUCGACCCUCCCGGCUCAGACACCAACAGCCCCUGAGAGCCACCUGGCUUUCCCUUCCAGUUCCGGGAGAGCGGCUGCCCGACUUAGGUCCGCCCGACCAGGAUCAGGCCCGCUCCUCCCCUCUUGAGGUGGUGCCUUCUCACAUCUGUCCAGAGGCUGCAAGGAUUCAGCAUUAUUCCUCCAGGAAGGAGCAAAACGCCUCUUUUCCCUCUCUAGGCCUGUUGCCUCGGGCCUGGGUCCGCCCGAAUCUGGAAGGCCCCUCCCAGCAGCGGUACCCCAGGGCCUACUGCUACCCCCUUCCUGUUUCUUAGGCGAAUGUUAGAUUCCUCUUGCCUCUCUCAGGAGUAUCUUACCUGUAAAGUCUAAUCUCUAAAUCAAGUAUUUAUUAUAGAAGAUUUACCGUAAGGGACUGUGCCAGAUGUUAGGAGAACUACUAAAGUGCCUACCCCAGCUCAUGUGGAUUACAGUUUUUUUUUUUGUUUUUUUGUUUUUUGAAACGGAGUCUCCCUCUGCCACCCGGGCUGGAGUGCAGUGGCGUGAUCUCAGCUCACUGCAACCUCCACCCCACAAGUUCAAGUGAUUCUCCUGCCUCAGCCUCCCAAGUAGUUGGGAUUACAGGUGCCUGCCACCACGCCCGGCUAGGUUUUGUAUUUUUAGUAAAGACGGGGUUUCACCAUCUUGGCCAGGCUGGUCUUGAACUCCCGACCUCGUGAUCCACCCGCCUCAGCCUCCCAAAGUGCUGGGAUUACAGGUGUGAGCCACUGCACCCGGCGUGGAUUACAAUUAUAAAAUGACAAGAUUUCUGUUUUAA
Pan troglodytes (chimpanzee) is the source of this 7654-nucleotide RNA transcript. It is a transcript of the gene named nitric oxide synthase 3, with no coding region annotated. The record is from RefSeq and is a predicted model, not a curated record. The transcript is spliced from 26 exons. NCBI's taxonomy places the organism in Eukaryota, Metazoa, Chordata, Mammalia, Primates, Hominidae.